AUGCUCAAGAAACUCCUGUGGAUCAGCAAGAAAAAGGCCAGAAAUCCAACGGAAAAACGUUCUUCGCCGAGAGUCGCCGUGGUUUCCUGCUUCAACAGUGCUUGGACGGAACUCGGCGCUCGUCCCCAACCCCGGCCGGCUGCCCACAGCCAGCCCUCUGUCACCUCCACACCACGCGCCCUCGGACCGCCCCAAGGCCCCCGCCGCCUCUCCUCAGCCGCCGCCGUAACGCGUCUCCUUCGCAGGUGCGCGAGGGCUACCAUCAGGACUCAGAGGCCGCCAUCAACUGCCAGAUCAACGCGGAGCUCUACGCCUCCUAUGUUCACCUGUCCAUGUCUUACUACUUUGACCGCGAUGAUGUGGCUUUGAAGAACUUUGCCAAGUACUUUCUUCACCAAUCUCAGAAGGAGAGGGAACAUGCCGAGAAACUGAUGAAGCUGCAGAACCGACGAGGUGGCCGCUCCUUCCUUCAGAACCAGACCAUGAUGACUGGGAGAGCAGGCUGGAUGCAAUGGAGUGUGCAUUACCUUAGAAAAAAAUGUGAACCCGUCACUACUGGAACUGCACAAACUGGCCACUGACAAAAAUGACCCCCGUUUGUGUGACUUCAUUGAGACACAUUACCUGCAUGAGCAGGUGAAAUCCAUCAGAGAAUUGGGUGACCACGUGACCAACUUGUGCAAGAUGGGAGCACCCCAAUCUGGCUUGGCAGAAUAUCUCUUUGACAAGCACACCCUGGGAGACGAUGAUAAUGAAAGUUAAGCCUUAGGCUAAUUUCCCUAUAGCUACAGGGUAACUUCCCUGGUCACCAAGGCAGUACAUGCAUAUUGGGGUUUCCUUUACCUUUUCUAUAAGUUGUACCAAAACAUCCACUUAAGUUCUUUGUACCAUUCCUUCAAAUAAUCCCAGCUACUCAGGAGGCUGAAGCAGGAGAAUUGCCUGAACCCAGGAGGCGGAGGUUGCGGUGAGCCGAAAUCGCGCCAUUGCACUCCAGCUUGGGUAACAAGAGCGAAACGAAAAAAAAAAAAAGAAAAAAAAGAAAGAAAUUUGGUACCCCCCCAAAAAAACAAAAACAUGAUAUCAUUUGGUGUCACCUCAAUUAACAAAAGUUAGGCAAAUCAGAUAAUACCUGCCAAGUGUUGGAAAGGAUGUGGGGAAAAGGGAACAACUGGUGGGGUUAUAAACUUGUAGAGCUAUUUUGGAAGCCACCUGACUAUUUUAUGAAUUUGAAUAUGCAUCUAGCCAAUGAGCCAGCAAUCUCAUGUUCCCAGAGGAACAUAAACAAGUGCAUUCAUCAGAGGAUUGUAUAUGAAGGCAGCCUAGGGGUUCAUUGCUAGAGAAAUGGGGAAGCAAAAUGUGUAAAUGCAUACUUUGCCGUACUGUGCAGCAGUCAGCCACAGUGAACUAAAGGUACUUAGAAUCCCACAACAAUCUUAAAAACAGGUGUCGCGUAAAAAAGAAAUACAGUAAGAUCUAGAAUAUAACACUAUUUAUGUAGGCUAAAGUUAUACAUACCCAUAAGAGCACUGUAUAUCUUUUAGGAAUGCAGUAAACAUAGUGAGUCUCUUACAGGAUAGGGAGAAAGAUGAAUAAGUAGGGCAUGACUAGGGGGAAAAAAUGAAAGAGAUCUCCUUACCAGAGAUGAAAAAUGAUAUACUUGAACUGAAGAGAUUUCUUCAACUCUCUAUACUGAAGGGAAGGAAAAUUGACCUUAAAAGUUUCACAUAGAUGGUAAAUAUAAGGAUAGCAGGAGAGUCCCCUUAAUGACUGAAAUAGUUGGUGCCUAUAUAAAAUUUGGGUAGCCGUUUCAAAGCAAGGACUACAAAGAUGCUUUAGGCAUCUUCGGGGAAUUUCAAGGUGGCACAGGAAAUUACAUGGAUGAGAUAACAGGUAAAGUCUUAGGCUCCCAGAGGACAGGCUGGGGCAUUGUGGGGCUGGAAUUACAGGGCAGACUCACACUGAAAGGAAGCAGAAGGCAGUGGAUCCUGUCCAGUCCUGGGGAAAGUGUCCCAUGAUGGUUAAACCUCUUGGCUAGAAUGACCCUACCCGGAGAGGGGACCGGGAGCAGGGUUUGUUUGAUCAAAGGAGUCUCUGGGGAGACUUCACACUGAGGGGCACCAAAGGCAGUAUAUGGAGAAACAUUCAAGGAGAACAAACAUUUGGCCCAAAGGCAAGGAGACAGAAAGAUGCAGGAAGGCACUCUGAUGCAUGUGGUGGGGAAAGAAAAGGAACAAUUAAGAAACAGCUGAAAUUUAUAAAAACAUAUGUGUCCAGGCUGGAUGUGGUGGCUCAUGCCUGUAAUCCCAGCACUGUGGGAGGCCAAGGUGGGUGGAUCACCUGAGGUAAGGAGUUCCAGACCCGGUUGACCAACAUGGUGAAACCCCUUCUCUACUAAUUACAAAAAUCAGCCAGGCAUGGUGGCGUAUGCCUGUAAUCCCAGCUACUUAGGAGGCUGAGGCAGGAGAAUCGCUUGAAUGUGGGAGGUGGAAGUUGCAUUGAGCCGAGAUUGCGCUGUUGAACUCCAGCCUGGACAACAGGAGCAAAAUUCCACCUCAAAAAAAAAAAAAAAAAAAAAAAAAAUUAGCUGGGUGUGGUGGUGCAUGACUGUAGUCCCAGCUACUCAGGAGGCUGAGGCAUGAGAAUUGCUUGAACCUGGAGGUGAAGUUUGCAGUGAGUCAAGAUUGAGCCACUGCACUCCAGCCUGGGUGACAGAGUGAGACUCUGUCUCAAAAAAAUAGUAUGUAUCACUAGUAACAAAGCCAAUCCAUGUGUGACCAGUUCUCUCCAAGGUCUAUGCUAAAUUAUAGCAAGAGACCAGGGCAACCCCAAACCAAGUCCUGAUGGCUGAGCACCCUGUAAGGCAGGAGCAGGCAGCUUGGCUUGAGCAGACAUUGGGUGGGAGGUGGGGUGGGGGCUGUUUGAGGCGGGAGGCAGCACAGUGCAGCAAAUGUUUCUUGAGAGGAAGAAGCCUGAUCCAUCACCAUCUGCUUGACUUUGUACCUAUUCCUUUUGAUUCGGCUUUACCUUCAUCUAUCUUGAUCCUUUCCUGGCCAAAUAUCCUCUUGGGCCCAAAUGAACAUUGUACCAGUCUUCUGGGAAGCAAACAUUCUUCCUGCUAUGUAAUUGCUAACAUUCACAUUAGAUGAUGUGCGGUAGCUUGAUCUUCCUUAGCCUACUGCCACUGAGGCAGUAGGUUUUAGGCAGCAUUGUAGGCCUUUUGAUUGAUUUAAGUAUUUAAUUUUCAUCUUCCUUCUUUGAAUCUAUUUGGCCUCUCAAAUGAACUGAGAUUCCUGUUAAAAAAAAGAUUGAUGUUAUUCUUGUCUCCUGUAGAGGAAAUUAAUAAAGUGUUUGUAUCUGUUCAAAAAAACAAUGUUUCUAAACACAAUGUGUGUUAUCCUGGAACAGAAAUAGGACAUAGGCUGGGUAUAGUGGAUCAUGCCUGUAAUCCUAACACUUUGGGAGACCAAGGCAGGUUGAUUACUUGAGGUCAGGAGUUUGAGACCAGGCUAGCCAACAUGGUGAAACCUCAUCUCUACUAAAAAUACAAAAAAUUAGCUGGGCCUGGUGGUGGGUGCCUGUAAUCCCAGCUACCUGAGAGGCUGAGGCAGGAUAAUUUAUUGAACCUGGGAGGCGGAGGUUGCAGUGAGCCCAGAUUAUGUCACUGUCCUCCAGCCCAGGUGACAGAGCAAGACUUUGUCUCAAAAAAAAAAAAAGAAACAGGACAUAAGUGGAAAAUUGAGAAUCUGAAUAAUGUCUGUAGUUUAGUUAAGAAUACUAUACACUGUUAAUUUCUUAGUUUUGACAAAUAUACUACAGUAUGUCGUAUGUUAAUAUUAAGGCAAGCUGAGUGAAAGGUAUACAGUAACUCUCUUUAUCUCUGCAACUUUUCUGUAAACUUAAAAUUAUUCCAAAAGAAAAAAACAGUAAAACCUCCAGCUGAAAGGCGUAUAAAAUAAAUGAAAAUAGGCAAAUAUAUCAAUCAAACAUCUUUUUUUUUAAUUUUUUUUUGCGACAGACUCUCACUCUUUCGCCAGGCUAGAGUGCAGUGGUGCCAUCUCGGCUCACUGCAACCUCUGCCUCCUGGGUUCAAGCAAUUCUCCUGCCUCAGCCUCCCAAGUAGCUGGGACUACAGGUGUGCACCACAACACCCAGCUAAUUUUUGUAAGUUUUUGGUAGAGACGGGGUUUCACCAUGUUGGCCAGGAUGGUGUCCAUCUCUUGACCUCAUGAUCUGCCUGCUUCCACUUCCUAAAGUGCUGGGAUUACAGGCGUGAGCUACCGUGCCCAGCCUCUAUCAGGCAUCUUAUAUAUUAAUAUAAGAUGUGUGUGUACAUAUGUGU
This is a non-coding RNA of Callithrix jacchus (white-tufted-ear marmoset), 4339 nucleotides long. NCBI's taxonomy places the organism in Eukaryota, Metazoa, Chordata, Mammalia, Primates, Cebidae. The record is from RefSeq and is a predicted model, not a curated record.